GAUGAACGCUGGCGGCGUGCCUAAUACAUGCAAGUCGAGCGAACAGAUGAGGAGCUUGCUCCUCUGACGUUAGCGGCGGACGGGUGAGUAACACGUGGAUAACCUACCUAUAAGACUGGGAUAACUUCGGGAAACCGGAGCUAAUACCGGAUAAUAUAUUGAACCGCAUGGUUCAAUAGUGAAAGACGGUUUUGCUGUCACUUAUAGAUUGAUCCGCGCCGCAUUAGCUAGUUGGUAAGGUAACUGCUUACCAAGGCAACGUUGCGUAGCCGACCUGAGAGGGUGAUCGGCCACACUGGAACUGAGACACGGUCCAGACUCCUACGGGAGGCAGCAGUAGGGAAUCUGCCGCAAUGGGCGAAAGCCUGACGGAGCAACGCCGCGUGAGUGAUGAAGGUCUUCGGAUCGUAAAACUCUGUUAUUAGGGAAGAACAAAUGUGUAAGUAACUAUGCACGUCUUGACGGUACCUAAUCAGAAAGCCACGGCUAACUACGUG
This 497-nucleotide ribosomal RNA is filed under the name uncultured bacterium. RNAcentral's name for it is "partial 16S ribosomal RNA". It matches the Rfam family "Bacterial small subunit ribosomal RNA", at positions 28 to 507 of the family's 1533-position model. The record is from RNAcentral.